ACUUAAAUUGAAGAGUUUGAUCAUGGCUCAGAUUGAACGCUGGCGGCAGGCCUAACACAUGCAAGUCGAGCGGUAGCACAGAGAGCUUGCUCUCGGGUGACGAGCGGCGGACGGGUGAGUAAUGUCUGGGAAACUGCCUGAUGGAGGGGGAUAACUACUGGAAACGGUAGCUAAUACCGCAUAAUGUCGCAAGACCAAAGUGGGGACCUUCGGGCCUCAUGCCAUCAGAUGUGCCCAGAUGGGAUUAGCUUGUAGGUGGGGUAACGGCUCACCUAGGCGACGAUCCCUAGCUGGUCUGAGAGGAUGACCAGCCACACUGGAACUGAGACACGGUCCAGACUCCUACGGGAGGCAGCAGUGGGGAAUAUUGCACAAUGGGCGCAAGCCUGAUGCAGCCAUGCCGCGUGUGUGAAGAAGGCCUUCGGGUUGUAAAGCACUUUCAGCGGGGAGGAAGGCGGUGAGGUUAAUAACCUCAUCGAUUGACGUUACCCGCAGAAGAAGCACCGGCUAACUCCGUGCCAGCAGCCGCGGUAAUACGGAGGGUGCAAGCGUUAAUCGGAAUUACUGGGCGUAAAGCGCACGCAGGCGGUCUGUCAAGUCGGAUGUGAAAUCCCCGGGCUCAACCUGGGAACUGCAUUCGAAACUGGCAGGCUAGAGUCUUGUAGAGGGGGUAGAAUUCCAGGUGUAGCGGUGAAAUGCGUAGAGAUCUGGAGGAAUACCGGUGGCGAAGGCGGCCCCCUGGACAAAGACUGACGCUCAGGUGCGAAAGCGUGGGGAGCAAACAGGAUUAGAUACCCUGGUAGUCCACGCCGUAAACGAUGUCGAUUUGGAGGUUGUGCCCUUGAGGCGUGGCUUCCGGAGCUAACGCGUUAAAUCGACCGCCUGGGGAGUACGGCCGCAAGGUUAAAACUCAAAUGAAUUGACGGGGGCCCGCACAAGCGGUGGAGCAUGUGGUUUAAUUCGAUGCAACGCGAAGAACCUUACCUGGUCUUGACAUCCACAGAACUUAGCAGAGAUGCUUUGGUGCCUUCGGGAACUGUGAGACAGGUGCUGCAUGGCUGUCGUCAGCUCGUGUUGUGAAAUGUUGGGUUAAGUCCCGCAACGAGCGCAACCCUUAUCCUUUGUUGCCAGCGGUCCGGCCGGGAACUCAAAGGAGACUGCCAGUGAUAAACUGGAGGAAGGUGGGGAUGACGUCAAGUCAUCAUGGCCCUUACGACCAGGGCUACACACGUGCUACAAUGGCAUAUACAAAGAGAAGCGACCUCGCGAGAGCAAGCGGACCUCAUAAAGUAUGUCGUAGUCCGGAUUGGAGUCUGCAACUCGACUCCAUGAAGUCGGAAUCGCUAGUAAUCGUAGAUCAGAAUGCUACGGUGAAUACGUUCCCGGGCCUUGUACACACCGCCCGUCACACCAUGGGAGUGGGUUGCAAAAGAAGUAGGUAGCUUAACCUUCGGGAGGGCGCUUACCACUUUGUGAUUCAUGACUGGGGUGAAGUCGUAACAAGGUAACCGUAGGGGAACCUGCGGUUGGAUCACCUCCUUACCUUAAAGAA
RNAcentral lists this ribosomal RNA (1552 nucleotides) under Klebsiella pneumoniae. RNAcentral's name for it is "bacterial SSU rRNA". It matches the Rfam family "Bacterial small subunit ribosomal RNA". The record is from RNAcentral. Lineage: Bacteria; Pseudomonadati; Pseudomonadota; Gammaproteobacteria; Enterobacterales; Enterobacteriaceae.